AAUUUAUAACCAGUAAACAUGUCUGUUAUACAUUAUUUCUCUCCUCUCUCUUGUGUCCAAAAAAAACAUGCAAAAUUGAAAGGUAAAUAACAUUUUAUACAUCACAGAGUUUUCCGCUAUUAUAUGCAAUAAUUCUCUUGUUAGAAAAUGACCUAUAAAAUAUACGAAGACGAAGGAUGACGCAGAAAAUUCUAGAAUUUUCUGGAACAGUUAUUCAAUUUCAAACCUUAAAAUACAAGCAUAUGGGCGCAAAAUGCAAAGAAUAAAGGAUUCUAUAGAAAGAAAAAUUACACACUGUGCAAGGAAUUUUUUCGAUUUUCGAUAUUUAUGGCUUUAUGAACAUUUGAAUUCGGAUAUUUGUGACCACGCCAUACAAAUAAGGAACAAUCGACAAACCAAUUGAAUUGGUUAAUUGGUUUAUUUAACCCUGACAAAAUAUACCGCAUACGUACCAGAUAGACUUAUAGUUAAUCAAUUCAGGUGAAACUGGUGAGUGAAAACUUGAUGUAAUAAGUCUUCUAGCGAUCAAUUUCAAUAAAACUGCUGUUAACACAAGUUGUCCGUUAUCAAUAAGAAUAUUUUGGAAUCAAAAGGAAGACUGAAAAUUUUU
This is a long non-coding RNA of Nylanderia fulva, 610 nucleotides long. RefSeq lists it as uncharacterized. NCBI's taxonomy places the organism in Eukaryota, Metazoa, Arthropoda, Insecta, Hymenoptera, Formicidae. The record is from RefSeq and is a predicted model, not a curated record.